RNAcentral lists this ribosomal RNA (1373 nucleotides) under Cylindrospermopsis raciborskii LEGE 051. RNAcentral describes it as "16S ribosomal RNA". It matches the Rfam family "Bacterial small subunit ribosomal RNA". The record is from RNAcentral. Lineage: Bacteria; Bacillati; Cyanobacteriota; Cyanophyceae; Nostocales; Aphanizomenonaceae.
UGUCGGUAUGCUUAACACAUGCAAGUCGAACGGGAUGCUUAGGCAUCUAGUGGCGGACGGGUGAGUAACGCGUGAGAAUCUGGCUCCAGGUCGGGGAUAACAGUUGGAAACGACUGCUAAUACCGGAUGUGCCGAGAGGUGAAAGAUUUAUCGCCUGGAGAUGAGCUCGCGUCUGAUUAGCUAGUUGGCGGUGUAAGGGACCACCAAGGCAUCGAUCAGUAGCUGGUCUGAGAGGAUGAUCAGCCACACUGGGACUGAGACACGGCCCAGACUCCUACGGGAGGCAGCAGUGGGGAAUUUUCCGCAAUGGGCGAAAGCCUGACGGAGCAAUACCGCGUGAGGGAGGAAGGCUCUUGGGUCGUAAACCUCUUUUCUCAAGGAAGAAGAAAGUGACGGUACUUGAGGAAUAAGCAUCGGCUAACUCCGUGCCAGCAGCCGCGGUAAUACGGAGGAUGCAAGCGUUAUCCGGAAUGAUUGGGCGUAAAGGGUCUGCAGGUGGAACUGAAAGUCUGCUGUUAAAGAGUUUGGCUUAACCAAAUAAAAGCGGUGGAAACUACAGAACUAGAGUGCGGUAGGGGCAAAAGGAAUUCCUGGUGUAGCGGUGAAAUGCGUAGAUAUCAGGAAGAACACCGGUGGCGAAAGCGUUUUGCUAGACCAUAACUGACACUGAGGGACGAAAGCUAGGGGAGCGAAUGGGAUUAGAUACCGCAGUAGUCCUAGCCGUAAACGAUGGAUACUAGGCGUGGCUUGUAUCGACCCGAGCCGUGCCGGAGCUAACGCGUUAAGUAUCCCGCCUGGGGAGUACGCACGCAAGUGUGAAACUCAAAGGAAUUGACGGGGGCCCGCACAAGCGGUGGAGUAUGUGGUUUAAUUCGAUGCAACGCGAAGAACCUUACCAAGACUUGACAUCCUGCGAAUCCCGGUGAAAGCUGGAAAUGCCUUAGGGAGCGCAGGAGGACAGGUGGUGCAUGGCUGUCGUCAGCUCGUGUCGUGAGAUGUUGGGUUAAGUCCCGCAACGAGCGCAACCCUCGUUUUUAGUUGCCAGCAUUAAGUUGGGCACUCUAGAGAGACUGCCGGUGACAAACCGGAGGAAGGUGGGGAUGACGUCAAGUCAGCAUGCCCCUUACGUCUUGGGCUACACACGUACUACAAUGCUACGGACAGAGGGCAGCGAGCCAGGGAUGGCAAGCGAAUCCAGAAACCGUAGCUCAGUUCAGAUCGAAGGCUGCAACUCGCCUUCUUGAAGGAGGAAUCGCUAGUAAUUGCAGGUCAGCAUACUGCAGUGAAUUCGUUCCCGGGCCUUGUACACACCGCCCGUCACACCAUGGAAGUUGGUCACGCCCGAAGUCAUUACCCCAACCGAAAGGAGGGGG